This 503-nucleotide ribosomal RNA is filed under the name uncultured bacterium. RNAcentral's name for it is "partial 16S ribosomal RNA". It matches the Rfam family "Bacterial small subunit ribosomal RNA", at positions 30 to 523 of the family's 1533-position model. The record is from RNAcentral.
AUUGAACGCUGGCGGCAGGCUUAACACAUGCAAGUCGAGCGGGGUGAUGGUGCUUGCACUAUCACUUAGCGGCGGACGGGUGAGUAAUGCUUAGGAAUCUGCCUAUUAGUGGGGGACAACAUCUCGAAAGGGAUGCUAAUACCGCAUACGUCCUACGGGAGAAAGCAGGGGAUCACUUGUGACCUUGCGCUAAUAGAUGAGCCUAAGUCGGAUUAGCUAGUUGGUGGGGUAAAGGCCUACCAAGGCGACGAUCUGUAGCGGGUCUGAGAGGCUGAUCCGCCACACUGGGACUGAGACACGGCCCAGACUCCUACGGGAGGCAGCAGUGGGGUAUAUUGGACAAUGGGGGGAACCUUGAUCCAGCCAUGCCGCGUGUGUGAAGAAGGCCUUAUGGUUGUAAAGCACUUUAAGCGAGGAGGAGGCUCUUUUGGUUAAUACCCAAGAUGAGUGGACGUUACUCGCAGAAUAAGCACCGGCUAACUCUGUGCCAGCAGCCGCGGUAA